GGGGGGGGGGGGGGGGGGGGGGGGGGGGGGGGGGGGGGGGGGGGGGGGGGGGCGGGGGUGGGGGGCGCGGGGGGCGGGGGGGGGAGGAGCACGGGGGUAACGGGCCCUUGACUUGGGGGUGACUUCAGGAAGCUGGGGCUAAGGCCGAGUAGGAGCUGCGGCGGCAUGGUGGGGGUGGGAAAUUUUCGGCGGGUGGGGAUGGCCUCGCGGCUUAUCAGCUUGUUGGUGGGGUAGUGGCUUACCAAGGCUUUGACGGGUAGCCGGCCUGAGAGGGUGACCGGCCACCUUGGGACUGAGAUACGGCCCAGACUCCUACGGGAGGCAGCAGUGGGGAAUAUUGCACAAUGGGCGGAAGCCUGAUGCAGCAACGCCGCGUGCGGGAUGACGGCCUUCGGGUUGUAAACCGCUUUCGCCUGUGACGAAGCGUGAGUGACGGUAAUGGGUAAAGAAGCACCGGCUAACUACGUG
Molecule: ribosomal RNA, 468 nt
Filed under: uncultured bacterium
Lineage: Bacteria
Description: partial 16S ribosomal RNA
Rfam family: Bacterial small subunit ribosomal RNA (bases 58-468)
Source: RNAcentral